GUAUACACUGCCCAUUGCUAUGGACCCCAUUCUUUGACCCCUACUAGAGAAGACACAGAGGCCUUGUGUGCUGAGCUGCAACUAGUUUGCCGAGUCUGCACUGACAUGGUACUGCUCUGUCAAGAUGCCGCUUCCAUGGCGACACACGGUGUGACACUUUGUUUCAGCUGGGUUCUUCAUACCAUACACCAGCAGUGACGCACCUUGAUCCUGUGCACACAAAGCUGUCGCUCAGCCAGGUGUUCUUAAUAUUACACCAUGAUGUAAUUUUAUGGAACCACGUGAGACUUAUAGAUAUGGAGGACAUUAUGCAAUGCAAAAGUUUACAAGCAUCUAGGCAUUUCAGAGUGAAUUAGUGGAAAGACCAUAGACCUCUCCCCCGUCUGAACCUGAGCUCUGCUGCUCUGAGACUUUCUGACUUCGGGACUCCUGGCUGAGCCUCAUAUGUGUAAAGGAGAAUAGUAGAUAUCCAUGAAAACAGUGGAAGCUUAGCACAAAGGAGACAACAGUAAGUUUCCUUUUCCCUUCAUAUUUUAAUACGGUGUGUGUGUGUGUGUGUGUGUGUGCCCGCGCGAGCGCGCAUGAGUACACAACUGUAAAAAUCAGGGAUUACUGGUUUUUCUAGCUUGGAAUUAAUUGUGGUAUUUUGAACACGAGACAAAAGGAACAAAUUUCAAGAUACAAAAAAUUCAGAGGCCAAUUGCAAUGGCUUUUCUAUUGGGCUUUGUUUUCUACCCCAAACAAAAUUAAUUACAUUGUCUACAUUGGCUUCAGCCCUCUGCCUGAUUUUUCUCUUUUGUUAUUCUUUCCUUUUUCUAUCUAAAUAUCCUGGCAGAGCUUACCUCUCUACCAUGCCCACCAUUUUUGCUCACAAUUAAUGUCUGUUUAAAACAGGAAAGUUGUUUGAUGCUUUAAAAAAAAUCUAUUUUGUAGCAGAAAAGAUUGGCAGCAUUGAGAGUCUGGCAUAAACAUUGAGAGUCUGUCAUAAACCCAUUAUCACAUUUGAGGUAGGUUUUGCCUCUAUUUUUAAAAGUGGUGACUUCAGAGAGGAGGUGUCUUUAGAGACAAACUCCUCGUAGGAACUUCAGUAAACAUUACAGUUCUACUGGUGGCAAUUUGUGAAUUUAUUCUGGGGGAAGAUUACACACAGAUCUCGAAGUGACAUACCUAAUUACAAC
This 1178-nucleotide long non-coding RNA is filed under the name Vulpes vulpes (red fox). RNAcentral describes it as "lncRNA (ENSVVUG00000029496.1)". Lineage: Eukaryota; Metazoa; Chordata; Mammalia; Carnivora; Canidae. The record is from RNAcentral.